GAUGAACGCUGGCGGCGUGCCUAAUACAUGCAAGUCGAGCGAACAGACGAGGAGCUUGCUCCUCUGACGUUAGCGGCGGACGGGUGAGUAACACGUGGAUAACCUACCUAUAAGACUGGGAUAACUUCGGGAAACCGGAGCUAAUACCGGAUAAUAUAUUGAACCGCAUGGUUCAAUAGUGAAAGACGGUUUUGCUGUCACUUAUAGAUGGAUCCGCGCCGCAUUAGCUAGUUGGUAAGGUAACGGCUUACCAAGGCAACGAUGCGUAGCCGACCUGAGAGGGUGAUCGGCCACACUGGAACUGAGACACGGUCCAGACUCCUACGGGAGGCAGCAGUAGGGAAUCUUCCGCAAUGGGCGAAAGCCUGACGGAGCAACGCCGCGUGAGUGAGGAAGGUCUUCGGAUCGUAAAACUCUGUUAUUAAGGAAGAACAAAUGUGUAAGUAACUAUGCACGUCUUGACGGUACCUAAUCAGAAAGCCACGGCUAACUACGUG
Molecule: ribosomal RNA, 497 nt
Filed under: uncultured bacterium
Lineage: Bacteria
Description: partial 16S ribosomal RNA
Rfam family: Bacterial small subunit ribosomal RNA
Source: RNAcentral